GUUUUUAUAGUUUAAUAUAAAACAUUGGUCUUGUAAACCAAAAAUAAGAAAUUUAUUUAAAAACU
Molecule: transfer RNA, 65 nt
Filed under: Biston panterinaria
Lineage: Eukaryota; Metazoa; Arthropoda; Insecta; Lepidoptera; Geometridae
Also listed under: 2 other names
Description: tRNA-Thr
Rfam family: tRNA
About the family: Transfer RNA (tRNA) molecules are approximately 80 nucleotides in length. Their secondary structure includes four short double-helical elements and three loops (D, anti-codon, and T loops).
Source: RNAcentral